AAAUUAUAAUUCCGGACCAGCCCCCAACACUGGGUCCCACAUCAAAUGUGAGUGGACCAACACGUGUAAUAACAUUUCCUAUUGGACCUUUGAUUAGUAUGGUUAUUAUUUUCAACAUGUAGAUUCAAGAUACAAUCCACCACUGGAAACUGUGAAGACAGUAUGCACAUGUACCUAGACAACUGAAUCAAUUUCUAAUUUUCUAUUGUUAAAUUUAGUCUGUUAGUUUGAUAUUAUUAUUUGUUGCAAAAAUGUCA
This 257-nucleotide unclassified non-coding RNA is filed under the name Hevea brasiliensis (rubber tree). The record is from RNAcentral. Lineage: Eukaryota; Viridiplantae; Streptophyta; Magnoliopsida; Malpighiales; Euphorbiaceae.